CAUAGCGACUAUCGUGGCAUAUCAAUAAGCGGAGGAAAAGAAACUAACAAGGAUUCCCUUAGUAACGGCGAGUGAAGCGGGAAGAGCUCAAAUUUGAAAUCUUCAAGGUUCUACCUUGACGAAUUGUAGUUUAUAAGAAGUGUUUUCUGUUAGUAGAGUUGGCUAAAAGUUCUUUGGAACUAGGACAUCAUAGAGGGUGAGAAUCCCGUAUUUGAUCAUUCUUUCUAACUUUGUGAUACACUUUCAACGAGUCGGAUUGUUUGGGAAUGCAGUCCAAAAUGGGUGGUAAAUUUCAUCUAAAGCUAAAUAUUGGCGAGAGACCGAUAGCGAACAAGUACCGUGAGGGAAAGAUGAAAAGAACUUUGAAAAGAGAGUUAAACAGUACGUGAAAUUGUCAAAAGGGAAGCGUUUGACACCAGUGUUGUUUUUCCGAAAAUCAAUUACGAAUGUUUUGUUUUUAAGAAGUUAUGACUUCAUCGGCUUGCUUCUCUCUUUACGAAACUUUCUUAAUGCACUUUUCGGUUAACAAGUCAACAUCAAUUUCUUUUGUUGUAAAAGGGUACGAGGAAGGUGGCUUCCUUUCGGAGAAAGUGGUUUAUAGCCUUGUACCUCUGCAAUCGGAGAGAUUGAGGUCUGCAGCGUAGAUCCUUCGGGGUUAGAUACGUUUGUGCUAAGUUAUAGCUUUUCAUAGACAACUUGUUGACUAUGUUUAGUCUUGUAGCUUACUCGCUUAUGCUAUUUUACCUACGCUUAGGAUGUUGAUAUGCAUGACUGAUAU
Molecule: ribosomal RNA, 778 nt
Filed under: uncultured Neocallimastigales
Lineage: Eukaryota; Fungi; Neocallimastigomycota; Neocallimastigomycetes; Neocallimastigales
Description: partial large subunit ribosomal RNA
Rfam family: Eukaryotic large subunit ribosomal RNA
Source: RNAcentral